CCUACGGGGGGCAGCAGUAGGGAAUCUUCCACAAUGGGCGCAAGCCUGAUGGAGCAACACCGCGUGAGUGAAGAAGGGUUUCGGCUCGUAAAGCUCUGUUGUUGGAGAAGAACGUGCGUGAGAGUAACUGUUCACGCAGUGACGGUAUCCAACCAGAAAGUCACGGCUAACUACGUGCCAGCAGCCGCGGUAAUACGUAGGUGGCAAGCAUUAUCCGGAUUUAUUGGGCGUAAAGCGAGCGCAGGCGGUUGCUUAGGUCUGAUGUGAAAGCCUUCGGCUUAACCGAAGAAGUGCAUCGGAAACCGGGCGACUUGAGUGCAGAAGAGGACAGUGGAACUCCAUGUGUAGCGGUGGAAUGCGUAGAUAUUAGGAGGAACACCAGUGGCGAAGGCGGCCUGCUGGGCUUUUACUGACGCUGAGGCUCGAAAGUGUGGGGAGCAAACAGGAUUAGAUACCCCUGUAGUC
This 465-nucleotide ribosomal RNA is filed under the name uncultured bacterium. RNAcentral's name for it is "partial 16S ribosomal RNA". It matches the Rfam family "Bacterial small subunit ribosomal RNA", at positions 338 to 795 of the family's 1533-position model. The record is from RNAcentral.